Molecule: ribosomal RNA, 256 nt
Filed under: uncultured bacterium
Lineage: Bacteria
Description: partial 16S ribosomal RNA
Rfam family: Bacterial small subunit ribosomal RNA
Source: RNAcentral
UACGUAGGGUGCAAGCGUUUAAUCGGAAUUACUGGGCGUAAAGCGUGCGCAGGCGGCUAUGCAAGACAGAUGUGAAAUCCCCGGGCUCAACCUGGGAACUGCAUUUGUGACUGCAUGGCUAGAGUGCGGCAGGAGGGGGAUGGAAUUCCGCGUGUAGGCAGUGAAAUGCGUAGAUAUGCGGAGGAACACCGAUGGCGAAGGCAAUCCCCUGGGCCUGCACUGACGCUCAUGCACGAAAGCGUGGGGAGCAAACAGG